RNAcentral lists this ribosomal RNA (253 nucleotides) under uncultured bacterium. RNAcentral's name for it is "partial 16S ribosomal RNA". It matches the Rfam family "Bacterial small subunit ribosomal RNA", at positions 524 to 776 of the family's 1533-position model. The record is from RNAcentral.
UACGUAGGGUCCGAGCGUUGUCCGGAUUCAUUGGGCGUAAAGAGCUCGUAGGCGGUUUGUCGCGUCUGUCGUGAAAGCUUGGGGCUUAACCCCAAGUCUGCGGUGGAUACGGGCAGACUAGAGGCAGGUAGGGGAGAACGGAAUUCCCGGUGUAGCGGUGAAAUGCGCAGAUAUCGGGAGGAACACCGGUGGCGAAGGCGGUUCUCUGGGCCUGUACUGACGCUGAGGAGCGAAAGCGUGGGGAGCGAACAGG